UACGUAGGGUGCAAGCGUUGUCCGGAAUUAUUGGGCGUAAAGAGCUCGUAGGCGGUUUGUUGCGUCGGCUGUGAAAUCCCGAGGCUCAACCUCGGGUCUGCAGUCGAUACGAGCAAACUAGAGUGUUGCAGGGGAGACUGGAAUUCCUGGUGUAGCGGUGAAAUGCGCAGAUAUCAGGAGGAACACCGGUGGCGAAGGCGGCGUCCUGGACCAACACUGACACUGAUGAGCGAAAGCCAGGGGAGCAAACGGG
This 253-nucleotide ribosomal RNA is filed under the name uncultured bacterium. RNAcentral describes it as "partial 16S ribosomal RNA". It matches the Rfam family "Bacterial small subunit ribosomal RNA", at positions 524 to 776 of the family's 1533-position model. The record is from RNAcentral.